This 253-nucleotide ribosomal RNA is filed under the name uncultured bacterium. Its description in RNAcentral is "partial 16S ribosomal RNA". It matches the Rfam family "Bacterial small subunit ribosomal RNA", at positions 524 to 776 of the family's 1533-position model. The record is from RNAcentral.
UACGUAGGGUGCGAGCGUUGUCCGGAAUUAUUGGGCGUAAAGAGCUUGUAGGCGGUUUGUCGCGUCUGCCGUGAAAAUUCGAGGCUCAACCUCGAACUUGCGGUGGGUACGGGCAGACUAGAGUGUGGUAGGGGAGACUGGAAUUCCUGGUGUAGCGGUGAAAUGCGCAGAUAUCAGGAGGAACACCGAUGGCGAAGGCAGGUCUCUGGGCCACUACUGACGCUGAGAAGCGAAAGCAUGGGGAGCGAGCAGG